AUAGGCAUAAUGAAAGUAAAAAUUAAUUUAUCUUGUAUAAAUUAUAGGGAAGAUGAAUAAUGUAUUUUACAAUAAAUUAUUUCGCAUUCCCGGGGCGUUUAAAUUUUAUUUGUUUGUUUACAUUCAAAUGAGAUUAUGCGCACCAAAGAGUGUACACGCUGGGACCCGAAAGAUGGUGAACUAU
This 184-nucleotide ribosomal RNA is filed under the name Euplatypus compositus. Its description in RNAcentral is "partial large subunit ribosomal RNA". Lineage: Eukaryota; Metazoa; Arthropoda; Insecta; Coleoptera; Curculionidae. The record is from RNAcentral.